UGAAUACGAGAUGCUACGGCGUCGAAGCAGUCUAUGUCAUACUUCCAAGAAAAGCUUGCACUGUCAUAAACAAAUAAUGCCUGUACCAUAACCGACACAGGUGGGUAGGUAGAGUAUACUAAGGGGCGCGAGAUAACUCUUUCUAAGGAACUCGGCAAAAUGACUCCGUAACUUCGGGAGAAGGAGUGCCUUAUUUAUAAGGUUGCAAUAACAAGAUCCAAGCAACUGUUUACCAAAAACACAGGUCUCCGCUAAGUCGUAAGACGAUGUAUGGGGGCUGACGCCUGCCCAGUGCCAGAAGGUUAAAGAAGUUGGUUAGCAUCCGCGAAGCUGAUAACUGAAGCCCUGGUGAACGGCGGCCGUAACUAUAACGGUCCUAAGGUAGCGAAAUUCCUUGUCGGGUAAGUUCCGACCCGCACGAAAGGCGUAAUGAUUUGGAUACUGUCUCGGAGAGGGGCUCGGUGAAAUAGACUUGUCUGUGAAGAUGCGGACUACCUGCACCAGGACAGAAAGACCCUAUGAAGCUUUACUGUAACCUGAAAUUGAAAUUGGACUUUACUUGCGCAGUAUAGGUGGGAGGCGUUGAGAAUAUUCUUGCGGGAUUAUUGGAGCCAUCAGUGAGAUACCACUCUUGUAAUGUUAGAUUUCUAACUUUGUAUCAUUAUCUGGUCAAAGAACAGUUUCAGGCGGGCAGUUUGACUGGGGCGGUCGCCUCCUAAACGGUAACGGAGGCGCACAAAGGUUUCCUCUGAACGGGUAGAAAUCGUAUCUAGAGUGUAAAGGCAUAAGGAAGCUUGACUGUGAGACCUACAAGUCGAGCAGGGACGAAAGUCGGUCUUAGUGAUCUGACGGUGCUGAGUGGAAAGGCCGUCACUCAACGGAUAAAAGUUACUCUAAGGAUAACAGGCUGAUCUCCCCCAAGAGUUCACAUCGACGGGGAGGUUUGGCACCUCGAUGUCGGCUCAUCGCAUCCUGGGGCGGUAGUACGUCCCAAGGGUUGGGCUGUUCGCCCAUGAAAGCGGUACGCGAGCUGGGUUCAGAACGUCGUGAGACAGUUCGGUCCAUAUCCGGUGUAGGCGUUAGAAUAUUGAGAGGAGCCUUCUUUAGUACGAGAGGACCGAGAAGGACAUACCUCUGGUGUACCAGUUAUCGUGCCAACGGUAAACGCUGGGUAGCUAUGUGUGGAGUGGAUAACCGCUGAAAGCAUCUAAGUGGGAAGCCCACCUCAAGAUAAGUAUUCUCAU
RNAcentral lists this ribosomal RNA (1244 nucleotides) under metagenome. RNAcentral's name for it is "bacterial LSU rRNA". It matches the Rfam family "Bacterial large subunit ribosomal RNA", at positions 1564 to 2817 of the family's 2925-position model. The record is from RNAcentral.